GCAGAGUAGGUUUGCGUGCGUUAAGUGUCUGCUGAACAGGGAGUUGUCAGCGGGACGAAAAGAACGGACAGCUUUUCCGGAAAUGGAGAGGCGGAGCCGUAUCUUGCGGUACGCAGGCCGCAUCCCGCUGC
This 131-nucleotide non-coding RNA is filed under the name chicken gut metagenome. Its description in RNAcentral is "THF riboswitch". It matches the Rfam family "THF (Tetrahydrofolate) riboswitch aptamer". Rfam says of the family: THF riboswitch presents a pseudoknot that joins P1-P2 and the loop of P3 and two THF binding. The record is from RNAcentral.